RNAcentral lists this ribosomal RNA (183 nucleotides) under Blautia wexlerae. Its description in RNAcentral is "partial 23S ribosomal RNA". It matches the Rfam family "Bacterial large subunit ribosomal RNA", at positions 2744 to 2925 of the family's 2925-position model. Lineage: Bacteria; Bacillati; Bacillota; Clostridia; Lachnospirales; Lachnospiraceae. The record is from RNAcentral.
AGUAGCCAAGCCCGGAAGGGAUAAACGCUGAAGGCAUCUAAGCGUGAAGCCCCCCUUAAGAUGAGAUAUCCCAUUCGAAAGAAGUAAACCCCCUUGAAGACGACGAGGUAGAUAGGGCAGAGGUGGAAGUGCAGCAAUGCAUGGAGCUGACUGUUACUAAUCGGGUGAGGGCUUGACCAAGAA